GUGGCGGACGGGUGAGUAACACGUGGGUAACCUGCCCUUAAGUGGGGGAUAACAUUUGGAAACAGAUGCUAAUACCGCAUAGAUCCAAGAACCGCAUGGUUCUUGGCUGAAAGAUGGCGUAAGCUAUCGCUUUUGGAUGGACCCGCGGCGUAUUAGCUAGUUGGUGAGGUAACGGCUCACCAAGGCGAUGAUACGUAGCCGAACUGAGAGGUUGAUCGGCCACAUUGGGACUGAGACACGGCCCAAACUCCUACGGGAGGCAGCAGUAGGGAAUCUUCCACAAUGGACGCAAGUCUGAUGGAGCAACGCCGCGUGAGUGAAGAAGGCUUUCGGGUCGUAAAACUCUGUUGUUGGAGAAGAAUGGUCGGCAGAGUAACUGUUGUCGGCGUGACGGUAUCCAACCAGAAAGCCACGGCUAACUACGUGCCAGCAGCCGCGGUAAUACGUAGGUGGCAAGCGUUAUCCGGAUUUAUUGGGCGUAAAGCGAGCGCAGGCGGUUUUUUAAGUCUGAUGUGAAAGCCCUCGGCUUAACCGAGGAAGCGCAUCGGAAACUGGGAAACUUGAGUGCAGAAUAGGACAGUGGAACUCCAUGUGUA
RNAcentral lists this ribosomal RNA (596 nucleotides) under uncultured bacterium. RNAcentral's name for it is "bacterial SSU rRNA". It matches the Rfam family "Bacterial small subunit ribosomal RNA", at positions 95 to 677 of the family's 1533-position model. The record is from RNAcentral.